Molecule: long non-coding RNA, 486 nt
Organism: Parasteatoda tepidariorum (common house spider)
Lineage: Eukaryota; Metazoa; Arthropoda; Arachnida; Araneae; Theridiidae
Source: RefSeq, a predicted model, not a curated record
AUGAGUUUGUUUUUUUGCUAAGUUUCAUUAAAAUAUAUCAGUCAGCAUAUUUUCUGCAAAAUUUGAGAUGUAAUGAUUGCUGAGAUCAAAUUAUGCUGUUUUCGAAGGUCAAACCAUGCCGAAGUAUAAAAGAUUACCGUAGUAUAAUAUUCCUUCAUUUACUUUAGAACGAAAUACAAACCAACAACUAAGAUGCAAGCCAGUCACAUUCUCAUAGCUUUAGCAGUCUUCUGCGUCUUGGCACCAUCGUGCAUAGCUGAUUCAGAUGCCUCUGUCGUACUGACCAUGUCUGUGAAGAAAGAUCUUUUCCAAACCUAUUUCUCUGACGCGCAAUCCAUCUUGAAGGAUUUUUCUGAAAUCGUGAAGAAGUUACGAAAUCUCAGAGCACGUACUGGAUGAAAAGAUAAAAUAGACCUCAAGAUUUAAGGGAUUCAAACGUUUCAGAUUUGUAUCUGAUUGUGUUUCAAUAAAGACUUUUUCAUCAGC